This 228-nucleotide unclassified non-coding RNA is filed under the name plant metagenome. Its description in RNAcentral is "partial contains small subunit ribosomal RNA and internal transcribed spacer 1". The stretch from base 1 to 46 matches the Rfam family "Eukaryotic small subunit ribosomal RNA", at positions 1786 to 1831 of the family's 1831-position model. The record is from RNAcentral.
AAGUCGCAACAAGGUUUCCGUAGGUGAACCUGCGGAAGGAUCAUUAGAAAGUCUGUUCGCCGUGGAGACGCGCGCGAACCUACCUUCAAACCACUGUGAAACCACUUGUUGCUUCGCGGCACGUCCUCCGCCCCGGCCGGAGGGCAGGUCAUCGCCGGAGCCAAACCAAAAACAAUUCUUUGUAACAGUCUGUCUGAGAAAAAAAUCAUGAAUUAAAAUUCGUUAAAA